Molecule: long non-coding RNA, 2076 nt
Filed under: Mus musculus (house mouse)
Lineage: Eukaryota; Metazoa; Chordata; Mammalia; Rodentia; Muridae
Description: predicted gene 45253
Source: RNAcentral
CAGAAGUGGAUACAGAAGCCAUGGAGGGGACAAGGCAAUCCAGACACCCAUAGGUGUUGUGUUCACCUCAGCCAAGAUCUCUGGACCCUAAAUCCUGGGCACUAUCUCUGAGUCAUUGGUAUCUAUUCUUGGGAAAGAAGCCAGACGCACUCUGUGAAGAAUCUCACUGGCUAAAGAAAAGUGUUCUGAGCCAGACUCUUGAGGUCCUGUCCCAGCAGCGGUUACAAUAAAACUGUGCUGAGCUGAGUUCCAGUCUUAUCUCUUUGUGGAUUGUUUUUUGGUUGUUUUUUUUUUUUUUCCCUGCCUGCAGAGAAGCCUGCAGGGAAUCACCACAGACCACAUGAUGAUUUUUAAAACAAUACGAUUAGAAUGAUCUGAAACCCAGCAUCUAUCAAACCAAGAGGCCCAGCUACCCAUUGUUUUGUGUUAAAGGAACCUGAAUUUAACACCAUGAAAAAAAGAACUGUUUUGUCAAGCACCAAGAACUCAGAUUAGGAGUUUUGAAGAGAUGACCCAGCAGUUAAGGGUGUGCUAGUCUUCCAGAGGAUCAGCUGUGGCACUAGGAUCAGCUGUGGCACCAGGAUCAGCUGUGGCACCAGGAUCAGCUGUGGCACCAGGAUCAGCUGUGGCACCAGGAUCAGCUGUGGCACCAGGAUCAGCUGUGGCACCAGGAUCAGCUGUGGCACUAGGAUCAGCUGUGGGUCAGAUCAGACAGCUUCCUGUUUUCACUCAGGUCUUAUUCCUGUGCUAGGGUACCAGCUCGGUCUGCUGAAUAGUGUGUGUACUGGACUUCCUCCUAGUGUGAUAGAAUGAGGAGUCAUACUUCUUACUUGGCCGCUCAGUCUCAGAGACAUGUAUUCUAGUCAUCAGACAGAACUGGUAUUGAUCUCCCAGGACCCACUGUCACAUAACAUGGUCACUCUUCUGUAGGACAAAGAGACACAAGUGUUCCUUGCAAGAGAGGGAGUGCAAGCCCCAUUUCUCAUUAGACGCAUGACUACUUGUGAAUAUUGUCCCUUUCUGGGAGGCCUCUCUGGAAUGUCACACUACUUUCCCAACAUUGGCAUCCUCCUUCACGGCUUGCUAGAAUUAUGUUUUAGGAAUCCAUCUAGAGCAAUGGUCCUCAACCUUCCUAAUGCUGUGACCCUUUAAUACAGUUCCACAUGCUGUGGUGACACACACACCCAAGCCUAAAAUUAUUCUCAUUGCUUCUCUCUCUCUCUUUUUUUUAAGAUUUAUUUAUUUAUUUAUUUAUUUCAUGUAUGUGAGUAGACUGUCACUGUCUUCAGACACACCAGAAGAGGGCAUCGGAUCCCCAUUACAGAUGGUUGUGAGCCACCAUGUGGUUGCUGGGAAUUAAACUCAGGACCUCUGGAAGAGCAGUCAGUGCUCUUAACCAUUGAGCCUUCUCUCCAACCUCUCACUGAUUCCUUAUAACCAUAAUUUUGCUGUUAUGACUACUAACGUAAACAUCUGAUAUGCAGGACAUCUGCUAUGUGACCCCUGUGAAAGGGUCCUUCGCACCCCCUCCGAGGGACGAGGAUUCGCAGGUUGAGAAGCGCUGCUCUAGACUCGGCUGAGCAUCAUUUUGACUUAGUAGUGGCGAUGAGUCUUUAUUUUCUUCUGAAGGCAGAGUUAACUUGGGGAACUCCAAUGAUGGAGAAAGAUGGACCAGUGUGUAUUCAAACAUUUGGUGAGCUGCUAACAUGUAUAGGGAACUAGGGAGGGGGGAGAGAGAGCGAGCACAUAUAAGUUAACAGAAGUCACACCAAGGAAACAAGGCCUUCUAAACACAGCACAACUGACACACGUAUGAACACACAGAGACUGAGGCAGCAUACACAUGGCCUGCACCAAAUGGGGUCCUAGAGUUGAGAGGAGAAGUGGACACAUGGGCCCACCCCUAACCCAGACGCUAUCUCCAGCUGAUGACCCCUCAAAAAAGAAAACUUAGUUUUCUCCAUGAAGUCUCACUGAAAAAAACAAACCACUCUUAAAGGCAGGCCCCAUGACCAGCAUUAGAUGGACAACACAAAGCAAAUUCAGUGACAUCUUUGGAGGUCUCAUAAUGUUCUG